UACGGAGGGUGCAAGCGUUGUCCGGAUUUAUUGGGCGUAAAGAGCUCGUAGGCGGCUCGUUGCGUCGGCUGUGAAAACCCGCAGCUCAACUGUGGGCUUGCAGCCGAUACGGGCGGGCUGGAGUUCGGUAGGGGAGACUGGAAUUCCUGGUGUAGCGGUGAAAUGCGCAGAUAUCAGGAGGAACACCGGUGGCGAAGGCGGGUCUCUGGGCCGAUAUUGACGCUGAGGAGCGAAAGCGUGGGGAGCGAACAGG
This 253-nucleotide ribosomal RNA is filed under the name uncultured bacterium. RNAcentral describes it as "partial 16S ribosomal RNA". It matches the Rfam family "Bacterial small subunit ribosomal RNA", at positions 524 to 776 of the family's 1533-position model. The record is from RNAcentral.